AGCCAAUAAAGCACAUGUCAAUCUGUCACUGGCUGUGCCUACAUUCCUGAGGCUGAUUUCAGACCUGCAUGAUAGCUCGAGUAUUGCUUUUAUUUCCUAUAAGAAGUCUUAGAUCUCGCGUCGCCCCCGUACCCCCGCGUCGCCCCGCUAGGGCGACACGGGGGCGAUCUCGCGCCACCGCCCCUCGUCGUCACCACGGUCCUCCUGUCCUCGCCGCUGCCAGAGGCUAGCGCCGGGCAGGCCCUGGGCGCAGCCAAGGAAGGUGGCGGCGGGGAGCUUCUCGCGCUCGGCCAGGCGCAUGGAUUGGAUCCGCCAGAUCCGUCCGGCCCGGGCCUCGGGUUUGAGGCGGCGGCCUCUGCUGGUGAGGGCGGCGUCGUCCGGGAGGCGGGCGGCACUCGCCGGAGUUGUGGACCGCGCCUCCUCGGCCGCGCGGACGGCUAGUUGGCGGUGGAUGCGGGCGCCACGUGGAGGGAUCCCCUGUUGCUCUCCUUCGCCAUAUUUGAAUAUGGCGUCCCCGUGCUGCUGCUUCCUCCUCGUCAAUCCGGCCGGAUCCGGUGGCGGACUGCGCGGAUGUGGUGUUGGGAUAUCUGGAUCGGAGUAAUUUCUUGGCCGGCUGCGACGGCCACGACGCCGGCGGCGCCCCAGGCGCUGUUUCCUUCUUGAAGGCAGCGUCCUCCUCCUGCACCCGGGUGAAAACCCACAACUUUGGUUGGGCGGCGGCGGUGCCCGGCUCCGUCACCUUCUUGAAGGCGCCGCUUUGGGUCCGCGGGGAGGUGGGACAGCUGCAGCGCGUUCUUGGUUCCUGAUGGCAGCGAUUCUCUUUAGUGGUGUCGUUUCGCCAUGGCGGUCGGCUGGUCCGGCUCUCGUGGUGAUUGUGGUGCCCAACUCUUCGACGUGUCUUCCUGGGGUGCUCCCGUCCCGUCCAGAGAGGCUGGAGGUGGAGCGGCUUCAUCUUACACGGAGCUUCGGUGGAGAUGUCAAGUCAUGCCUGACCGACAGGUGCUACGCUUUGUCAUGCCUGGUCGGCAGGUGUUACGCACGACAGAUCUUUCAAAGACUUCAAGCUGUGUCCGCUGGUGGUACUUGACAGCAUGGUGCUGAGGUGUAUCAAUGGCGACCGCGACGCCCUCAGAUGUUUGCGCGCAGGGAGGAGGCGCCGUUGGGCGCCGUGGUGGCGUCGACGAUAGCUGGACCGAGCAAGGUUGAUGCAUUACUACAGUUCUGAAGAUGGAGCGGUGGAAGUUGGUGGCGGCGGCCUCUUAGUGCACGCCGGACCGGUGAGACCCAUGCCCGGCAGACGUCCUGGAUGGGAUCUCAGGUCUUAGAUGUUAGGUUUGGCUGCGAUGCCUGUUUGGUAUUAGGCCCAGGCUAUCUGCGCCCCUUCAUCAACUGGAUAAAGUGGCUAGACGGCGGCUUUAGUCUUACUGUUGUAUUACUUUGUAAGGUCUUGCGAGAAUAAUUAAUAAAGUGGCCGUAUGCAUCGUCCAGAUGCAGAGGCCGGGGGUCAUCC
Molecule: ribosomal RNA, 1510 nt
Filed under: Triticum aestivum (bread wheat)
Lineage: Eukaryota; Viridiplantae; Streptophyta; Magnoliopsida; Poales; Poaceae
Description: partial small subunit ribosomal RNA
Source: RNAcentral